Molecule: ribosomal RNA, 497 nt
Filed under: uncultured bacterium
Lineage: Bacteria
Description: partial 16S ribosomal RNA
Rfam family: Bacterial small subunit ribosomal RNA
Source: RNAcentral
GAUGAACGCUGGCGGCGUGCCUAAUACAUGCAAGUCGGGCGAACAGAUAAGGAGCUUGCUCCUUUGACGUUAGCGGCGGACGGGUGAGUAACACGUGGAUAACCUACCUAUAAGACUGGGAUAACUUCGGGAAACCGGAGCUAAUACCGGAUAACAUAUUGAACCGCAUGGUUCAAUAGUGAAAGGCGGCUUUGCUGUCACUUAUAGAUGGAUCCGCGCCGUAUUAGCUAGUUGGUAAGGUAACGGCUUACCAAGGCAACGAUACGUAGCCGACCUGAGAGGGUGAUCGGCCACACUGGAACUGAGACACGGUCCAGACUCCUACGGGAGGCAGCAGUAGGGAAUCUUCCGCAAUGGGCGAAAGCCUGACGGAGCAACGCCGCGUGAGUGAUGAAGGUCUUCGGAUCGUAAAACUCUGUUAUCAGGGAAGAACAAAUGUGUAAGUAACUGUGCACAUCUUGACGGUACCUGAUCAGAAAGCUACGGCUAACUACGUG